This 175-nucleotide ribosomal RNA is filed under the name Escherichia coli. RNAcentral describes it as "partial 23S ribosomal RNA". It matches the Rfam family "Bacterial large subunit ribosomal RNA", at positions 1 to 168 of the family's 2925-position model. Lineage: Bacteria; Pseudomonadati; Pseudomonadota; Gammaproteobacteria; Enterobacterales; Enterobacteriaceae. The record is from RNAcentral.
GGGUUGUGAGGUUAAGCGACUAAGCGUACACGGUGGAUGCCCUGGCAGUCAGAGGCGAUGAAGGACGUGCUAAUCUGCGAAAAGCGCCGGCGAGGUGAUAUGAACCCUUGACCCGGCGAUGUCCGAAUGGGGAAACCCAGUGCAAUCCGUUGCACUAUCGUUAACUGAAUACAUA